CCGGCGGUGGCAGGGGCGACGGCGGCGCGCUCCCGUCCCGUCGCGGACGCCUGCCGCUGCGGCUGCGGCGCAGUCCCGUGCCGUGGGA
Molecule: transfer RNA, 88 nt
Filed under: Streptomyces candidus
Lineage: Bacteria; Bacillati; Actinomycetota; Actinomycetes; Kitasatosporales; Streptomycetaceae
Description: tRNA-Gly
Source: RNAcentral